AGUGGCCUACGGGGGGCAGCAGUGGGGAAUAUUGCACAAUGGGGGAAACCCUGAUGCAGCGACGCCGCGUGAGCGAUGAAGUAUUUCGGUAUGUAAAGCUCUAUCAGCAGGGAAGAAAAUGACGGUACCUGACUAAGAAGCCCCGGCUAACUACGUGCCAGCAGCCGCGGUAAUACGUAGGGGGCAAGCGUUAUCCGGAUUUACUGGGUGUAAAGGGAGCGUAGACGGCGGGGCAAGCCAGAUGUGAAAGCCAGGGGCUCAACCCAGGGACGGCAUUUGG
Molecule: ribosomal RNA, 280 nt
Filed under: uncultured bacterium
Lineage: Bacteria
Description: partial 16S ribosomal RNA
Rfam family: Bacterial small subunit ribosomal RNA
Source: RNAcentral